GGAAGAUGAGUACAGGAAAAAGGUUGAAGAAGGAAAGAAAAGGGAGGCAGCCUUGGAAAACGAUUUAGCAAAUAUGUGGGUGCUUGUUGCUCAGCUGAAGAAAGAGGCUGGUUCUAGGCAAGAUUCAAAGCUGGCAGCUGAAAGGCAGAAUGUAGAAGACAGGCUGAACGAUGUAAAAAUCAAUGAUAUCAACCAAAAGGAGCCAAACCUCGCUGAUAGCCUAUCCGUG
RNAcentral lists this unclassified non-coding RNA (229 nucleotides) under Hevea brasiliensis (rubber tree). Lineage: Eukaryota; Viridiplantae; Streptophyta; Magnoliopsida; Malpighiales; Euphorbiaceae. The record is from RNAcentral.